RNAcentral lists this long non-coding RNA (362 nucleotides) under Cricetulus griseus (Chinese hamster). RNAcentral describes it as "lncRNA (ENSCGRG00015032276.1)". Lineage: Eukaryota; Metazoa; Chordata; Mammalia; Rodentia; Cricetidae. The record is from RNAcentral.
GCUCUGAGGAAUGUGGAGGGUGUGAAUGAAAAUGCAGUCACUAGGUUUCUAGCUCCAGGUUAUUGGCUGUCUUGUGACCAGAGAAAUAGAAGUCAGAUCUACAUCCCCCGUGGCUGAUGGCCAGGACUGGCAGAGUGAGAAGUUGGAUGUGGCCCAUUCCACAAAGCCCAGGGGAACUAUUCUUCACACAGCUGGAUUUCUGCCUGGGCUUCUAACCAUUGCUUCACCACAUCCUGAGAGUUUCCAGGCUCUUGGCUUCUCAUCCAAAGAAUUGAAAAUAAGGGCUCACACCUAUCUGCAAAAGAAGUAAGAUCAAGGCUGGGCGUUGGUGGUGCACGCCUUUAAUCCCAGCACUCGGGAGG